RNAcentral lists this ribosomal RNA (459 nucleotides) under uncultured bacterium. RNAcentral's name for it is "partial 16S ribosomal RNA". It matches the Rfam family "Bacterial small subunit ribosomal RNA", at positions 338 to 795 of the family's 1533-position model. The record is from RNAcentral.
CCUACGGGCGGCAGCAGUGAGGAAUAUUGGUCAAUGGUCGGGAGACUGAACCAGCCAAGCCGCGUGAGGGAUGAAGGUACAGAGUAUCGUAAACCUCUUUUGUCAGGGAACAAAGGCGGGGACGUGUCCCCGGAUGAGUGUACCUGAAGAAAAAGCAUCGGCUAACUCCGUGCCAGCAGCCGCGGUAAUGCGGAGGAUGCGACCGUUAUCGGGAUUUAUGGGGUUUAAAGGGUGCGCGGGCGGUCUGUUAAGUCAGCGGUCAAAGCCCGGGGCUCAACCCCGGACCGCCGUUGAAACUGGCAGUCUCGAGUUGGAGAGAAGUAUGCGGAAUGCGCGGUGUAGCGGUGAAAUGCAUAGAUAUCGCGCAGAACUCCGAUUGCGAAGGCAGCAUGCCGGCUCCACACUGACGCUGAGGCACGAAAGCGUGGGUAUCGAACAGGAUUAGAUACCCGAGUAGUC